RNAcentral lists this small nucleolar RNA (80 nucleotides) under Sorghum bicolor (sorghum). Lineage: Eukaryota; Viridiplantae; Streptophyta; Magnoliopsida; Poales; Poaceae. The record is from RNAcentral.
AACCAUAUGAUGCCAAACAAGUUAAUCCUGAGAUUUUCUCUGAGGACUUACAAAUUCGAGCUUUUUAAAACUGAUGGUUG